AGCAGCCGCGGUAAUUCCAGCUCCAAUAGCGUAUAUUAAAGUUGUUGCAGUUAAAAAGCUCGUAGUUGAACUUCGGGAUCAAUGGAUCGGUCAUGCCAUUGGUGUGUACUGGUCCUAUUGGUUCUCACCUUCUAAGGAACCUUAAUGUCAUUAAUUUGAUGUUUUGGGGAAUUAGGACUGUUACCUUGAAAAAUUAGAGUGUUUAAAGCAGGCUAACGCUUGAAUACAUUAGCAUGGAAUAAUGAAAUAGGACAUCGCAUUCUAUUUUGUUGGUUUCUAGGAUCGAUGUAAUGAUUAAUAGGGAUAGUUGGGGGCAUUAGUAUUCAAUUGUCAGAGGUGAAAUUCUUGGAUUUAUUGAAGACUAACUACUGCGAAAGCAUUUGCCAAGGAUGUUUUCAUUAAUCAAGAACGAAAGUUAGGGGAUCGAAGACGAUCAGAUACCGUCGUAGU
Molecule: ribosomal RNA, 450 nt
Filed under: uncultured Glomus
Lineage: Eukaryota; Fungi; Glomeromycota; Glomeromycetes; Glomerales; Glomeraceae
Description: SSU rRNA
Rfam family: Eukaryotic small subunit ribosomal RNA
Source: RNAcentral